CGGGGUGUAGCGUAGCUGGUUAGCGCGCCUGCUUUGGGAGCAGGAGGCCGCAGGUUCGAAUCCUGCCAUCCCGACAA
RNAcentral lists this transfer RNA (77 nucleotides) under Ignavibacteria bacterium. Its description in RNAcentral is "tRNA-Pro". It matches the Rfam family "tRNA". From Rfam's summary of the family: Transfer RNA (tRNA) molecules are approximately 80 nucleotides in length. Their secondary structure includes four short double-helical elements and three loops (D, anti-codon, and T loops). The record is from RNAcentral. Lineage: Bacteria; Pseudomonadati; Ignavibacteriota; Ignavibacteria.